RNAcentral lists this long non-coding RNA (1309 nucleotides) under Ananas comosus (pineapple). RNAcentral's name for it is "long non-coding RNA (ACOM_LNC013889)". The record is from RNAcentral. Lineage: Eukaryota; Viridiplantae; Streptophyta; Magnoliopsida; Poales; Bromeliaceae.
GCUCCCCCAAAUACAGUAAAUGAUAAAUAUAUUUCUAUAAAUUUUAAUUUUUAUAUAUUAUUUUGAGUCCGACUCAGAUAUUAUUGAUAACACCAAAUACUUGAUGCUAUCGAAUUUUCCACCGUUAAAUUUAACCCUUUAAUUAUUUUUACCUGUUAGAUUAUACUAUUCAACCAACAACUCACUCAAACCCUAGGGAGUUCAUAUCAUCCUAGCCGUAUAUUUCUUCGUCCAAAGACCGAAAACCUAAUAGCACUAACAGCUUAGUACUAUUGAUAGCAUUCCAGCCUAGUUCUAUUAUUUUUAUAAAAAUUCUAAUGUUUUCAAAUAUAUAUCCUUAUAUUUUGUUAUUAUUAGAGAACUAUUUAUAUUUUCAAUUUUAUCAUUACAAAUAUAUUUCUUCAAAAGUCAUAACAGUAUAAUAUAAUAUAAAAGGAUAAAAGAAAAGUAUUUAACCUAUUAUUAACUAAAUUUUUCUAACGGAUUCUAACGGCAGUAAUAUAUUUAAAAAUAUCAGAAGUUUUGUUGGAAUAAAUAUGAAAGUUGAAUUUUAUUGAAAUAUAUAUUUAUUAUUUGCCAAUGUGAAAUUAAUCCAUAAUAAUAAUGCUGGUAGAAAGAGACAUGCUUUUUUUUUUUUCUUUUUUUUUAUUACAACAUUGCUUUUUACGUCAAUUCGCUAUCCAUUUGCUCAUGCACACACUCACUCGCACAAGAUUAGUAGAUUCAUGAUUGCUUUGGACUUAUUACAAAUUAAACAAAACUUUUCAUCUUAUAUGCAUUUCAUAUUAGUAGGUUCAGCUACAAGUAUACUGUUUAUUUCAGAAAUAAUUACAAGUUCAGAUAUAAACAGUAAUUAGACCAAUUUUACUAGAAUAGUGAGAAUUUGAAUAAUUAUAGCUUGAAAAUAAUAAUAUCUUAUCUAAUUAAUUAACAAUAAUAUAUUAAUUAAUAAAUUUAUUAGCUAUAGAUAUUAUAGUAAAUUAAUAAAUAUAAUAAAUAUUAAUUAAAUAAUUAUUUAAUUAAUACAUUUUUAUAAUUAAUUAUAAAAAUAAGUUAUCUUUUUAUUUAGAUAAUUAGUUAAAAAUUAUCUAAUUAAUUAAUAUAAAAUAUUAAUUAAAUAAUAAUUUAACUUAUUUAAUUAACUAAUUAAUAGAUUAACCGAAAUAUUGAUUAAUAAAAUAAUUAACAGUGCAUGCUGUUAAUUAAUAAUUUAAUUAAUCAUAAGUAUUUUAAUAAAUUAAUUAAUUAAUUAAUAAUUAGCUAAUUAAUAGUUAGAUAAUUAAUUAAUUAAUUAAAUUAAUUAGAUUGG